GAUGUAGGGCUGGGACCCAGGUCCACGGAGACACCAGCCCAAAGAGCCCAGGGAGGUCGGGCUUGGGUCAGCAGGAGGGGAGAGCAGAGUCUGCAGCAGGAAGCCCGAGGAGUCACCAGCCCAAAGUCACCCAGGGAUGACUGCGUUUCUCACCUCUGGAGGACUCAGCAUUCAAGGUGCCAUCUUGGAAGCAGAGAGCAGCCCUCACUAGACUACAAACCUGCUGGCGCUUUGAUCUUGGACUUCCCACCCACCAGAACUCUCUCCACUCCCUUCCUAGACUUUCUUCAUAGAGCCAGAAGAGGGUACCUGAAUUGGCCUGGACUGCUCAGCCUGUACGGUUCUGGGAGUGGGGUGGGGUGGAUGGAGUGAACUCAGCAGGCACCCCCAGCUCUGCUCUCCUGUGGUGUGACUGGAUCUCCAGGAGGGACUUCGACUUUUCCAGGUCUUAGCACUGAAGAUGCUUUGGUGCUUCUGCACAGGGGAGAAAAUUCAAAAUAAAAACAAAACCAUAAACCAUGCAAUACAACUUUUAUAUGGAUGCUAAAAAUAAAAUGUUGUUUUGUUUUCUUAAAGUU
Molecule: long non-coding RNA, 578 nt
Filed under: Homo sapiens (human)
Lineage: Eukaryota; Metazoa; Chordata; Mammalia; Primates; Hominidae
Description: non-protein coding lnc-CHRNB4-1:3
Source: RNAcentral